UGCAGCCCUGACUGUAAAUCGCUUUGGAUAAAAGCGUCUGCUAAAUUGCAUAUA
Salmo salar (Atlantic salmon) is the source of this 54-nucleotide non-coding RNA. NCBI's taxonomy places the organism in Eukaryota, Metazoa, Chordata, Actinopteri, Salmoniformes, Salmonidae. The record is from Rfam.